GACGAACGCUGGCGGCGUGCUUAACACAUGCAAGUCGAACGGAAAGGCCUCUUUCGGGGGGUACUCGAGUGGCGAACGGGUGAGUAACACGUGAGUAACCUGCCCUUGACUUUGGGAUAACUUCAGGAAACUGGGGCUAAUACCGGAUAGGAGCUCCUGCUGCAUGGUGGGGGUUGGAAAGUUUCGGCGGUUGGGGAUGGACUCGCGGCUUAUCAGCUUGUUGGUGGGGUAGUGGCUUACCAAGGCUUUGACGGGUAGCCGGCCUGAGAGGGUGACCGGCCACAUUGGGACUGAGAUACGGCCCAGACUCCUACGGGAGGCAGCAGUGGGGAAUAUUGAACAAUGGGUGGAAGCCUGAUGCAGCAACGCCGUGUGCGGGAUGACGGCCUUCGGGUUGUAAACCGCUUUCGCUCAUGACGAAGCUUUGUGUGACGGUAGUGGGUAAAGAAGCACCGGCUAACUACGUG
This 467-nucleotide ribosomal RNA is filed under the name uncultured bacterium. RNAcentral describes it as "partial 16S ribosomal RNA". It matches the Rfam family "Bacterial small subunit ribosomal RNA", at positions 28 to 507 of the family's 1533-position model. The record is from RNAcentral.